RNAcentral lists this long non-coding RNA (39139 nucleotides) under Ananas comosus (pineapple). RNAcentral describes it as "long non-coding RNA (ACOM_LNC012656)". Lineage: Eukaryota; Viridiplantae; Streptophyta; Magnoliopsida; Poales; Bromeliaceae. The record is from RNAcentral.
UAUAUAAAAUUAAGCUAGAAUACUUUUAGGAGUAUUAUCUUUUUGAUAUUUUUAGGUUUCUAACUCUUGAAUUUACUUCUUGAUUAGUAAUAAUUAUUGGAUUAAACACUAUUCCAUCUACACUAUUUAUCAUCAUCAUCCCAAUUUUACAUUUUUUCACCCAAUGGUUAAAAACUCAAAAGCACCAAUCUUCUGGUGCUUUUGAGAGUAUUCUAGCUUAACUAUAUAUAUAUAUAUAUAUAUAUAUAUAUAUAUAUAUAUAUAUAUAUAUAUAUAUAUAUAUAUAUAUAUAUAUNGAUCAUAAGGUAAAUGAUGUUGAAAAAUUAUGAAAUUUAAUUUCUAGAAGUUUUAAAUGCUCUAGAUCAUAUUUAACGGAGUGGAUCGUCGAUUCGGAAGCUCCAUCAUCGAAAACAACUUAUGAGUAGUAAGGGUCCACUACUCAUAAGAGUAUAGUAGCCCUACUCUAUAUAUAUAUAUAUAUAUAUUUCGAGCUUUCGAGUUUUUCGAGCCUAAUUCGAACGAGCCGAGUAAUACUCAAGCUCGGCUUGAAAUGAAUUUCGAGCCUUUUAUUUUGUUCAAGCUCGGCUCAUUUAAUUUCGAGUCGAGCUCGAGCGAGCCGAAUAUCGAGCCGAACAUGAGUCGAACGCGAGCCGGCUCGCUCAUUUGCCAGCCCUACUAAACAUGUACAUCCAAAAACCAUGCAUAUAGAGCCGCGGAAUAGGUAACAGUCACUUUUUGGUGACCGCGACCAAUAAUAAUUAAAAAAUAACAACAACUACAACAUAUACGUACAAGUUGAUGUGGGCCCCGCGGCCCAGUAACUGUCAACUGUUGGUGGGCCCCCCAUUGGCGCCACUGCAUUAUAGUGGGCCCCACGUUUCACAUCACCCCGACUCCGGGGAAGCCCAUUAAGGGCCUACGAAGAAGGUGGGUCCCACACAACUAGCUAAGCUACAGUGCACUGCGCCUGUCGCUGUGGGGCCCACCCCAUAAUUCUCCGCGAGAUUCCAUUGGUCCGGGCCCGCAAAGGAUGUAUUCUGUUGCGUGCACCAAAUGUAUCCGUAUAUUUCAUGCACCGCUCUUCAUGUAUAGACUAUAGUACGUCCUUAAUUUCUUUUCUUUUGAGAGAGAGAGAGAGAGAGAGAGAGAGAGAGAGAGGGAAUAAGCUAAUUCCUUUUAAUAAAUUUUUUAUAUAAAUAAAUUUAAUUAAAAAUAUAAAUAAUUAGGUCCCCGAUGAUUUAGGGACUGUUGGUUUCAUUAUGCAUUAUUUAAAAAUUUUUAUAUACAUUUAUGGUGGAACUANUAUAUAUAUAUAUAUAUAUAUAUAUAUAUAUAUAGAAUUAGGCUGGAAUACUAUUAAUAGUAAAACGCUCUUUUUGCUAUCAAGUUUUUAGCCAUUGGAUGAAAAAUUGUAGGAUCAGGAUGAUAUUAGUCGGUUAGAGUAGAGUGGUCCCCCUAGGGUUGAGUGGUCCCCACUGGGUUAUAGUAUUUAAUCCAAUGGUUAGAAAUAAUGAAAAAAGUUGAUCCAAAAGCUAAAAAACUGGAAGCAAUAAUGGGAUUUUGCUACUAAUAGUAGCCCAGUCCAACUCAUAUAUAUAUAUAAUUGAGCUAGAAUACUUUAGAAGCACCAACCCCUUGGUGCUUCUAAGUUUCUAGCCCUUACCGAUCAUCCCUAGAGCAAGUGGCAAAAAGCUUUGUGGUUGAUACUCGAGACCCAAAUUCGAAUCUUAGUUGAUUCAUAUUUCCAGCUAUGUUUUUUUCUACAUGAAAUAAACGAAUUGGGUAGCGUGCUACUUAUCUCUCUCUCAAAAAAAAGAAGAAGAAGAUUUCUAGCCCUUGGAUCUACUCCUUGAUUACUAAUAGCCUUUGGAUCAAACACUAUUCCACUUACCACCACCUACCACCACCUAUCACCAUCAUCUCAACCUCACAUCUCUCCUUCCAAUGACUAAAAACUCAAAAACACCACCCUCUUGAUGUUUUUUAGAGUAUUCUAGCUUAACUAUAUAUAUAUAUAUAUAUAUAUAUAUAUAUAUAUAUAUAUAUAUAUAUAUAUAUAUAUAUAUAUAUAUAUUCUUCAUUUCUUUGCUUAUUUUUUAGGCCUAACAUGAUAUCAGAAUUAACUCUAAAUCUUUAAUUUCGUUCGGUAAGGUUGUGAAUUUAAUCCCCUCUAUUAAUAUUUAACGAGCUAUCACUAUGUAGGGAUGCAAACAGGGCGGAUCCAGAGGUGGAAGGGUUUCUCCACCUCCAGCUCCAUUUCUUAUCAAAACAGGACGGCUUUGGGGCAGAUUAUUUUUUAUUUUAUUUUUAGCUCCCACUUACUGCUCAAUUCGGGGCUGAUCGAAGUGGGAGCGGAUUUUUGACAGAUUCUUGACGGUUCGGGACGGAUUGAAGGAAGAAAAUGAUCUCCCGCUUCUCGCUCUAUUUACUUCACAAAUCGGAGCGGAUUCGAGACGGGUUAUAUUUUUUCUAUUUUUUUUUCUCGCUUAUCACUCCAUUCGGAACGAAUCGGGACGGGAACUCCACCAACCCGGAUCCAUUUGCAUCUCUGACAUCAUGUUCAUCAUGUAUAUCAUCGAUAUUUUUUAGGUAACAAGCAAAUUUUCUUUCAUUAUUUUUCUCCAAAUAAAAGUAAAAAUAAAAAAAAAACUUAAAAAUAAAAAAAAACCCCCUCAACUGAUACUAAACAUUAGGGGUGGAAACGAGCCGAGCUCAAGCGAGCUUAUGUCAGCUCAAAUUCGGCUUGAAAUUAAUUUCGAGCCUAAAUCUAGGCUCAAGCUCGGCUUGAAAUUAAUUCGAGCCGAACUCGAGCGAGCCUAAUUUCGAGUCGAGUCGAGCUCGAGCUCUAAACGAGCCGAUUGAAAUUCUCGACAUAAUAUAAUCAAUAGUUUAAUUUUUAUAGAACAUUACCUAUAAUUUGAUACAACAUGUUCAAUAAUUCAAAAUACAAAAUAAUUAUAAGAAAUGUGAGCUAGGGUGACUGCCUGACUGGGUGAGGGUCAGAGAGAGAGAGAGAGAGAGGAAAAAAAAUUAGGGAUUUGAGAAUUUGAAUAUUAUCAUGUUUUAGGGUUAUGUGCAACAGUGAAAGUCUGAAAGAGAGAGUGUGUUAUGUAAAUUUAGAGUUGGGCUCAAUUGCACGGUUGUAUGUAUGGAUUAUUUUAUGGGCAACAAUAUGGCCAAAUUAAAUUAAAGCUUAUAUAUAAUUAAAAUACAUUAUAUAUAUAUAUAUAUAUAUAUAUAUAAUAUAUAUAUAUAUAUAUAUAUAUAUAUAUAUAUAUAUAUAUAUAUAUAUAUAUAUAUAUAUAUAUAUAUAUAUAUAUAUAGAGUAGGGCUACUAUACUCUUAUGAGUAGUGGACCCUACUACUCAUAAGUUGUUUUCAAUGAUAGAGCUUCCGAAUCGACGAUCCACUCCGUUAAAUAUGAUCUAGAGUAUUUGAAAUUUCUAGAAAAUAAUUUCGUAAUUUUUUGAAAUCAUAAUAAAGUCCAUCAAGCGGGCAUAAAAUGAACGGUCAAAAUCGAACGACGUCCUAAAAUGGUAUGAUCGGAUCCCUCAAUUAACGAUCGGAGUUAUUGAUCUUUAUCUAGGUAGUGAAUAGAAUUUUCUAUCAAAAAUUCAACAUAUUUCUGAUUCUUUUCCACCGUUAAACUAGCAAGUAUCCCAUACGGCCGUUAAAAAUUGUCAAUUUUGUAAGCUUUUGAUCAUAAGGUAAAUGAUGUGAAAAAUUAUGAAAUUUACUUUCUAGAAGUUUUAAAUGCUCUAGAUCAUAUUUAACGGAGUGGAUCGUCGAUUCGGAAGCUCCAUCAUCGAAAACAACUUAUGAGUAGUAAGGGUCCACUACUCAUAAGAGUAUAGUAGCCCUACUCUAUUAUAUAUAUAUAUAUAUAUUUCGAGCUUUCGAGUUUUUCGAGCCUAAUUCGAACGAGCCGAGUAAUACUCAAGCUCGGCUUGAAAUGAAUUUCGAGCUUUUAUUUUGUUCAAGCUCGGCUCAUUUAAUUCGAGUCGAGCUCGAGCGAGCCGAAUAUCGAGCCGAACAUUAGUCGAACGCGAGCCGGCUCGCUCAUUUCGCCAGCCCUACUAAACAUGUACAUCCAAAACCAUGCAUAUAGAAGCCGCGGAAUAGGUAACAGUCACUUUUUGGUGACCGCGACCAAUAAUAAUUAAAAAUAACAACAACUACAACAUAUACGUACAAGUUGAUGUGGGCCCGCGCGCCAGUAACUGUCAACUGUUGGUGGGCCCCCAUUGGCGCACUGCAUUAUAGUGGGCCCCACGUUUCACAUCACCCCGACUCCGGGGAAGCCAUUAAGGGCCUACGAAGAAGGUGGUCCCACACAACUAGCUAAGCUACAGUGCACUGCGCCUGUCGCUGUGGGGCCCACCCAUAAUUCUCCGCGAGAUUCCAUUGGUCCGGGCCCGCAAAGGAUGUAUUCUGUUGCGUGCACCAAAUGUAUCCGUAUAUUUCAUGCACCGCUCUUCAUGUAUAGACAUAUAGUACGUCUUAAUUUCUUUUCUUUUGAGAGAGAGAGAGAGAGAGAGAGAGAGAGAGAGAGAGGAAUAAGCUAAUUCCUUUUAAUAAAUUUUUAUAUAAAUAAAUUUAAUUAAAAAUAUAAAUAAUUAGGUCCCCGAUGAUUUAGGGACUGUUGGUUUCAUUAUGCAUUAUUUAAAAAUUUUUAUAUACAUUUAUGGUGGAACUAGAAUACUAUUAAUAAUACGAAAAUAGUAUUUAAUAUCAAUUUAUUAACCAAUAGAUGCCUACAGUUUAGUAGGGGUUGGUGGAAUAGUAAAAAAGUUGGUAAUAAAUUAUUUUAUUAUACUUUUAAUAAUAUAUUAUGUGAAGGUCUCUUCCAUAUAUAUAUAUAUAUAUAUAUAUAUAUAUAUAUAGCGAGCUGGUAUGUUUCUGGAAGUAUGGAGCCUUCCGUGCUUCUAAGUCGUUUUUGAUGUUGGAACUUUCGAAUCGACGUCGGCUCCGUUAAAUUUGAUUUAGAGCAUUUGAAGUACCUAGAAAAUAAAUUUUGUAAUUUUUCGAUAUCAUUUGCCUAGUGAUCGAAGGGUCUCAAAAUCAAUAAUUUUAAUGGCCGUGGUGAGCCGUUUGCAAGUUUAACAGUAUAGAAAUAUUCAAAUCACGUAAAAUUUUGAUAGAAAAUUUUUUAUAUUAUAUAAAACAAGAUCAAUAUUUUUGAUCUAAAAUUUUAAUGUCAUAUCAUCAUAUUUUUUAAGAUUUUUAUUCUCAGCCGUUGAUUUUGAGUCAUUUUGAUGACUAGGCAAAUGAUAUAAAAAAAAUCACAAAAUUUAUUUUCUAGAUACUUAAAAUACUCUAAAUCAAGUCUAACGGAUCUGAUCGUUAAUUCGAAAGUCCCAACAUCGAAAACAACUUGGAAGCACGGAGCGCCCCGUACUUCCAGAAGCAUACCAGCCGCACUCUAUAUAUAUGCUAGCGAAAGUAUAGAGAAUUUGAUACUUCUGACUUUUUGACCCUUGGAUCAAAAAUUAAAGGUUGAGUAAUACUCCUAGGGUUGAGUAGUCGUCACAGAAUAAUAGUAUUAAUCUAAAGACUAGAAAUGAUCAUAGGGGUUGAUAUAAGAGCCAAAAAUUUAGAAGCACCGAAUUUCCUAUACUUCCGAUAGUAUAGUAGCUCCAGAAUAAAUUUGUGGCUCAAAGGGGCUCAAAAUUUUCUAUUCUAUAUGUGUGAGUAUUUUGAGUGUCCUAAAAUUAUUAACUACGUUUAAGGGCCGCAAUCGAUCCGAUAGGAAACAACUUAGAAAUAAUCUUAGUAUCCAAUCUUUGAUCACGAAUUAAAAAUUAUCAAGAAAAUCAUAUAUAUAAUGUGAAUUAAUAAAAGAGACAACGGAGGAAACGACGGACAAAGAACUAUGCAAUGGAAUUGCUAAAGUGAGAAUUAACAGGUCUUAACAUGUCUUAAGUGGGCAGUGCAUGGUGCACCGGGUGCAUGCAGUACCUUCCUUAUAAAAGAUAAGCUAGAUGUGGGACCCACAAAGGAUCUCCACACGAGGUGGGUCCCACAGGAGGUAGUCCCGCAUGGUUUUCUGGAAUCAGAAUCUUACCUACUAUAGGGCUCCCUAAGAACUCACAAAUUAAUUAAUAUUAAUUAUAUUACUAAAUUUACUUUAAUACAUCUCUCUAAGGUUCUUAAUUGUAGUUGUCUCCCUAAUUUAGCUAUUAAUUAAGUACAUUGCAUUAUCAUUUUGUACUUUGGAAUAAUUCUGCUUGGGGUUUUGCAUAGAAAAAGAUAUGGUAUCAAUAUUUUUCGUGUGAGAUUGUCGUAGUUGAUAUCUAAUGAUUAAUAUAUUAGAAUCAGGAGUGCGUUGGGUGGAAAAUAAAUGAACUAUAUGACAUUUGAAGCCAAAUUGGAUUUUUAUAUAUUUAGUUGUACAAUGAUCUUGUUUGUUAAGAAACAUAAUUGUUAGGUAGAAUAGAAGAUAUUUACCAUGUGAUACAAAUGCAUGCAUGGAGCAUGACUAGAAUUAUUUACUAUAAACACUCUUUAGAUCAUUUUUCUUUGUACAUAAAAAAUCCUCUCAUACACUGAACCUGAAAAUCCAGAUUACUUAGAUCUUAUGAUACCUGAUUCCAAACUCUUGGCCUGUAAUCAAAAAAGAAAAUACUCCCACCAAGAUGACUUAUCACCAAACAAUUUGCUCAAACAUAAUCAUUUUAGCAGGAGAUACAAAUAGUAGUACUCUAGCGCAUUUUAAUGAAGUUUUUUUUUUUUUUUUUUUUUUUUGGGUAUUUAGUUUUCUUCUCGUAGCAACGAAGCUUAAUUGCGUCAAUACUGUAGCUAAAUUCAUAUAGUGUACGGCUAUCCAGAAAAAAAAAAAAAAAAAAAAAAAAAAAAAAAAAAAAAAAAAAAAAACUCAAACAUACAAAUAAACUAUUUGGAUCCUAAUUAACCCAGUUGUUAAGGUGGGAUUAGCAUGUGAUUUGGCUAUUUAGUAGGGUCCAUUGAGUUAUCAAGUUGUCAUACACUCAUUUCUCUUGAUAAAGUGGGGUUUGGUUAGCUGUACUCCAUAAAUGCAUGGAGAUAUAUUAAAUGAAAAUUAAAAGGACAUAAAGUUACAUGUUUACUCAAGAGGGCAUAAGUUCAAAUUAUGCGAAUCUUCUAAAUCUUCCAAUUUAUUUUUUUAAUUUAUUUUUUGAACAAGUUUACAGAUACUUUUAGCUAUCAUAUUACCAAACUAGAUCUAGAUAAGCAUGGAGGGGAUUAAACUCCCGAUUCGUCGGCUAGCAACCCAGGUACCAACCAUCUGUACUAGACAGUGAUGUUCAUAUUUUGCUUUUGAAUGAAGAUUUAUUUUCAAGAUUUGCGCUUUUCAAUCAUCUUUUCCUGCAUUAAUUUGAUGGAGUAUAGGUUCCUAACAAUACAAUAAAUUCAUAUUUGGUGUUGUCUACGUGUAGUACGUUUUGAUCUGACCUUAAUUCGACUAGAUCAGAUCAUCAGAACCAAUUUGGACUUUUCUCUCAAAAAUGAAAGAAAAGAGUGAAAUAUAAGAAUAAAAGAACCCCAUUUGGGCCAAUGCAUUAGCUCUCGAAUCAUCCAAAAACAUAUCUACUAGAGGCCCAACCUCACCUGAAAUAGGGCUAAGAUUUAAGUUUAGGUGCAGGGCAUAGUACUAGUAAUUGUUUGGUGAGAGAGAGAGAGAGAGAAUGCUCUUAUCUUGUUUGGCCGCACUUCUACUUUUACUUUCAAAAGAAAAAAAAUAAUAAUAAUAACUUAGUAUAAUUGACAGAUAGAAAAUUAUAACUUUGCUGAAAAAAAAAAGAGACAAAAAUGAGAUUCUGAGUCUCAAACUUAUAUAUAGCGCUUCCCCUUAUAUUGCUUAGAUCGUACUUUAUCAAAUAACACUGUGUUCUAUAAUAUGGCCAAACACAUCCUGAACUCUUUUGAGUAUUGAUUAUUGAAAUCCUAUUUGUGUAUAUCCUAUAGGAAAUUUCCAAUGACUAUUUGCAAUUCUUUUAUUUUUUGUUGAGAGAAAAUUAACAUGCUAUGCACUUCAUUUCUUAUUUUAGAAAUAAAUUCGGCUAAAAAUGUGAAAUUAACUGACUAGACUUCAAACUUGAAACCUCAGAUACCAACCAUCAACCUCUAGGCACAAUCAGUAACAUAAAUGUCAAUUUCAAAGGUUAGAAACUGUAAAGAGAUAGAAUUAACAAAAGAAAUGUAUGCUAGGAGCCUUGGACCACAGAAAUGUAGCUUGGAGCUGAUUUUUUUGCCUAUGUUUUUGUGAAAAACAAUGCUUCAAGGCUUAAAGGAAAUCUAUCACUUCUGAAUCCCCCAAGGUUUGGAUCACAAGCAAGGAGUGAUAAGUUUAAUCCCACAGCAAAUAAAGAGCUCAUUUGCACUGAAAAAGCGCUUCUACAGAAGUGGUAUUUGUGCAAAAAUGUCUGAAAAAGAACCAGUACAGCAAAAACAGCUACUUCAUAUGUAAAACCAAUGACAUACACAAAUUGAAAAUAAUUACCUCAAGUUAUAGGGAGUCUUCUUGUUUGUAAUGAAUGGCAAGGGAGAGGUGGCGUGGCCGCAAUACUGUAUGGAUAAGCUGAUAACACAGUCGUCGAAAACGAUAACACGAUUCACUAGGGGAUAUGACAAUGGAUGUACAGACAUGAACAUAUGUGCACAAAACUACAUGUAGAAAGAGAUAAAGAUAAAGAUAUAGUGAUAGAGAUAUUCAUUCAACACGCCUCGACGCGUCUGUAGGACACCUGUGUUUACAGCUAUCAACUUAUUCUGUGUUUAUCCGUUACCGUAUCCGACAUGAAUACACAACUAGAGUGCAGGAAUUAGUAUGCGGGCGCCAUGGCUUGUUUAUAUAUUGAACAGCAUAAUGAGAAUAGAUUACAAUAGAAACUACAGUGCUGCUAACUUCGGUAGGAGAUACAACUAGUUGGUACCAGGAUAAGGUUUACAGCUGACAAAAUGUUUAUCAUUGCUAAGAAAUUAUACAAUGGUUAAAUAAUACAACAUAUAAAAGAGGUGGUUAACAUGGUACUCAAUUUUCUUACCAAAGCUUCGAGGCCGUAUAAGCGGCAGUAACAUCCAAUGUACAACAGCAAUGUGUAGGUGGUUCUCGCCCUUCUCAAUUAACUGCCACAGCUGUAGCCUCGUAGAAAAGAGCAUCGCCCUUCGGAUGCAAUAAUAACUAUAUCUUUUGUUUAAGAACUUGGCGAAGCUGAACCUUUUGGCCGUCCAUCCUUGCCUCUAACAACUUUGCCUUCAAACUGUGCUUCUGCAUGCCACGUCGCCAUUCGAUACACCCUUUCAUCCCUUUGGCUACAUUAGGGUUUAAAGAAUCCGGCGAGCUCAACUGCCCUACACUGGGUGAGCUCAUAAUCCCAUCACCUAACUUAAGAUCAGGAGAUAGUGUCGCAUUCGAUAUCCUGCCAUGCAAAACCCUCCCGUUUUGCAACUCUGUCGCCAUUUUCUUGCAAUUCUCACCGUUUGAAGAUCUCCACAGCCUAACAAUCGAAGACCCUUUCUUUCUAGACUGUCUAGUAUUAGUAGAACAAACCUCACUAAUUUCAUCGGUACCGCUAACUGAUGCAUUAUUAUCGGCAUAGACCCCAGUAACUGAUGGGUCGCUCCCUUUAGGGGAAUUACUCGAGCCCUGCUCCUCCACAUGGCUCACAGUCUCCCACCCGCUAUCUUCUUCCGCAUCUUCGUUGGUGUACCUCCUUGUUGGUUUCUCUAAGAAUAUAUCAGUCUCCGGGCUAACUGUGUGGAUUCUCGACGCAUGGCUUGUUGCAGGGCUGAAUCCGUAGCAUUGUUCGAUCUCUCUUUCAUUUGCAUCUUCUCUUGGCUGUAGUUCUUCAAACACAGAGAAGAUGUCCUCCGAAGCAGGAGGGGGCUGGUAAGUGAAUUCCUUCAUAUCGUGAAUCCUAAUUGUGCUGAUGGCUUCUCUGAGCAUUUCUGCUUCUCUAAAUGCUUCUGUGUCGGCACCAGUACCAGCUUGCGCUGCUAAAAAAGCCUCUAAAUCAGCUUGUAGGUUGCUAAGUUGCGAAUACUUGUGCUCGAGGGUCAAUUUCGCAUCAACCAACUUCAUCUGUACUCUUUCUUCACGCCAAACCUCUGCCAUUUGCAACAUCCUUCUCUCUUCCUCGACCUCCUCUCUUAUCUUCAUUGAUUCCCUCUUCAAACCCUCCACUUCGGCUUUGUCUUCUCCGAUUUCCUUGGCGAGCUCAUCGCACACUUCUUCCAUGAGCUCGCGUGCCUUUCUCUCCUUCUCAUAGUCGUGCAAGAAUUUCUUCAUGGACAAUUUGGCCUCGGUUAAUUCAUUUACCAAUUUGGAAUUUACGAUUUCCAAUCUUUUCCUACCUUUCCUCUCCCUGUUGAGAUCGUCCUUCAUGGAAUCUAUUAUAUUGCGGACCUUCUCAUGUUCUUUGAUCCUCCACAAUGCUUUUUCCUCGGCAACCUUUUUCAAGAAGUGAUCGAGUUGCUUCUUCGACGAUUUCUUCUCAGCCUCGAGCUCGAUAAUGCGGGUUCGGGCCUGCUCGAGCUCCAAUUGGAGGGAAGAAACAAAGGAAACCUCUGCACCCAGUUUAUGGAAUUGGCGAGAGUUGUCCGAAGCUUUUGAGAUCUCGGCGUCCCACUUGGUUGUUGUCUCGAUUGUGCUAUUGGUUAAAGUUUUACAAUCUUCAAGCUGAUAAAAAUACAUAGAUUAAACAAUAGAUCAAACAGAAUCAACGAAAAGAACCAAUUUUAAUGCCUACCGAAAUUGAGAAGAAAUUGUGAGUACCUUUUGCAAGAUGCCAUUCUUUCUAUCACGAGCCGUAAUCGGGAUGUGGAGGUGUCCGGAAUUGGACUGUAAGAGAGAAAAUGAUUCUUAAUUAAGAUAAAGUACACAAAUUCUCAACAAUAUUAUAUGGGCCCACUUUGAUUAACACUCAAUAAUGGCUAAAAUCAACAUCUUAAUUGGAUAGUAGGACCACAAAAUAGAGAGAUAUAACAUCAUUAACCAAUAGGCAUAGCAACAUAGAUUAAAAAAUAUAGAAAUAUAACAUCGUCAACCGUAGAUCGCCUCAAUAAAAAGUACCAUAUCAGCAUCAUGCAAUUACAAUGGUCCACCAAAAUGCGUUUUAAACAUAACAUGCGUCCAAAUUUUUCCACAAUUUGACAUCACGAGUAUGUUUAGCUAACAAACAUAUUCAGCAACCACCAACUAAAAAUUUGCCCUAAUUAAAAAAGAAUUGCAAAAGAACACACAAAACUGCAAUUCUCUUUUACUGAAUCCACAAAAACAAAAGCAUGCAUCUAAAUUAAGAUGUGUAGAGAUCUUCGCACAAUUGGAGACCAUGAAUCAAUUUAUUUAGCUAACAAUUAUUUCAGCAAUUGCCUAAAUACAUUUCCCUAAAUUAAAAAAAUUGCGAAAAACACAUGAUUUUUAACAUUAAAUUGCCACCAAAAUGCAAUUUUUCUUUAAUGUAGAGAUCUUCGCACGAUUGCACACAGUGAAUCAAUUUAGCUAACUAAGAAACAAAGUGAAAAAAAAAAGAUUUUUAACGAGAAAAUGCUCCCAAAAUGGAAUUUUUUUUAAUCAGAUUCCACAAAAAAGUAGUGCAUUUUGAACCUGGAAGAGGGUAAUUUCGUAAAAACAGGAUCGAAAAAGAGUACAAGAGGAGCAGGGAUCUCGCACGACCUACCUCAAACCCUAAUCUAGCCCCCCUUCGCCGCUCCCCUGCGCCCCCACUCUCCGGGGGCAGCGUCCGCCACAUCCCCGCGGCGAGCUUCCUUGCCGACAACGUCGGCGCCGCCGCAGCCGCCGCCUCUCCUGCCGCGUUCCGGCGCUCCGCCUCGGAGGUGCCGCGAUCCGCUUCGUGAAGCUUCCACUGGAGGUGGGGGGUCGCGGCGGCGCCGCCCCACCUCCGCCGAGAUCCGCCACCGCCGAUCCCCGGCGCUCGGACGCGGCUGCGGCGGCGUGGGACCGAUGCGGCCGCGGCUGCCGCGGCGCCGGGCGACGAUCGCCUCAUCGCACCAUCGCAUCCAACACCAUUGGCGACGAGAGAGAGCGAGAGAGAGAGUAGGGAUUUGGUCGAAUGGGGAGGAAAUGGAGGGAUACGUAUGAGGAGGAGGAGGAGGAGGAGAGAGAGAGAGAGGUAGAGAGAGAAAGGGGUUGGAGAGAGAGAGAGAGAGAGAGAGAGAGUGUUGACUAAGAUCUACCCGAGGGGUCCGGUCAUGUGGAUGUGGACGGGUAAAAAAGAUGAGGUUGGGGGGAGGUCGAAAACUAUAUNGUAAAUUAGUCUAAUUUUCCCUUUUAUUAAUUUUUCUUCAUGUUUGAUUAUCUUUUCUUUUUUAUUUUUUAGAAUUGGUUGACUUUAGUUGUAUAUAGAUUGAAGAUAAUUUUGAGCACUAAGUUAUUUUAGCCAAAAAAACACUUAAAUAUUUUAUCAAAUUUAAUAAUUUAAACUACUUUCAAGCAGGUAAAAUUAGACUAAUUUACUGAUAAUAUUUAAUAUAAUAAUUAAAUUUAAUAAAAUUUUUUACCAAACAAGUUCGAAAAUAUAGUUAAAUGAAUGUUUGACUCAAGGGUAAAGCUAAGGGGUCUAUUUAGCAAAUUAUGUCGUUUAAGGGGCCUCCAUGCAAUUUUGCGUAAAAAAGAGAGUAAGGUGAUUUUCUGUGUAACGUGCGCAUAUCGCGGUUACAUUGACUGGUUUGUGGGGCCCACGACAGUGGGGACCACAUGUUAGUGAUACAUAAACGUGAUAUAUAACAGUUACGCCGUAGAGUUCUCGGGUGAUGCGGGGACGAGACGUAUUCGUAUGUAAAUAUUUGCACGGACCAGGUCUAUAGACCGGACCAAUAGCAUUCUGGUAGACCGUCGCACCCAACACCGAUUGCAUGCAAACCCGAAGCAUGCGGUGUAUACAACGUACUAUUCCAUGCUUGUCUCAAUUACGUAUCCUUAUAAAGUUAUAAUAAUAAUAAUAAUAAUAAUAUAAACAUAUUUGUUACUGUAAAAAUUUACAAAUAUAUUUUGAGAUUAUAGUGGAAGAUUCCUACAUUUUUUGCAAUUAUAAUUUAGUUAAAUGCGAGAUCAAAAUAUAUCUCCUUAUAUCAGAGCUACGAAGGAGAUAAAAAUAAAUUAAUCUUUUCAAGUAAAAUAUGAUGGUUUUCAAAGUUUGAAGAGAUAAACAUGUUUGUUUGUAGUUUUAUAAUUUCAAUUCUCCUCUUUCAAAUUUUUAAUAUUCAACUUUUUAAUUUAUUUGAUUUAAGUCACUAAAUAAUACAUUGACAUUAAAUUUUAACCUAAUUAUUUAUUUCAACGUAUUUAUACCUAUAAAAAUUAUAUGAAGUAUACUAACUAAAUAUGUAAAGCGAAAUGAUAUAUAUUCAAAUUUUAAAGUCAAAAUAUUAUUGACCGAUUUAAAUUAAAUAAAUUAAAAGACUAAAUAGUACAAUUGAAAUUUUAAAAAAUUAAAUAACUGAUUCAAAAUUAUAUAUAAUUCAAAUAAAUUUGAUAUUUUUUUAAGUAAUAAAUAAAAAGGAUUUUUUUUUUUGAGGGAAGAAAAAGGAUUUAUAUUGAGAGGUGCAAAAGGUGGGGACAAGCACCAUCAACUAUUCUACACCACUGUUUCUCUUUUGGGGGCCACAAUUUGGCAUUUUGCUCGUGUCCGUAGCGUUUUGUUCCCUUCAAUGUAUAUCUCAAGCUGUAACAUAUGGAGGGUUAAUAAUGAAAUAUAUGAAUAGGGUGGCAAAUGAAUCCGGGUUAGUAGAGCUUUCGUCUCGAUCCGUUCCGAAUGGAGCAGAAUACAAAAUAUAAAAAAAUAUAAUCCAUUUUGAAUUCGUUUCGAUGCGCCAAGUAAAUAGAGGAGCGGGAGGCAAGAGUCCUUUUUCUCCCUUUAAUCCGCCACGAUCCGUCAAAAAUUCGCUAAAAAUUCGCUCCCAUACCGAUCCGCCCCAAAUACAACAAUAAGUGAGAGUCAAAAAUAAAAUAAAAAAUAACCCGUCUCGAAUCCGCCCCGCCUUGACAAGAAAUAAAGAAGGUGGGGGAACCCUCCCGCCCCCCGAAUCUGCCCCAUUUGCAUCCCUACAUAUGAUCACUACAACAGAAUUAGAUUAUAGGAACACAUUUUUGGAACACUUUUAUAUAAAUGUCCCAUUUAUGUAAAUUUUUUUAAAAAAUAUUUAUUAAGACCUAAAUAUAAAGACUAAUCCAAUCAAAAAUAAAAAAUUCUUCUAUUCAACCAACCGCACUCAGCCCACUCGAUUCAAUUACAACUAAAAAAGGAAAAAAAAAAGAAAAGAAAAAUUGAUCAUCCUCUCCCCUUCUCCUCCUCCGUCGCAGUAGCCGACGAGAUAGGGUUCCGGCGGCUAGAGUUCGGCCACGAGGAUCUCGCAGGGACCGCAAGCUACGAUCACCACAUAUCCCUCUGCCACAGGUCGUUGGAGGAGUGUGUCAAAUAUCAAGAUGGUUCUACCUAUAGCGAUCCCACAUAUAGCAACACCUUUAAAAAGUGUCGGUAAUUUAGCUAACAGCACUUUUUUGACCUGUACCGACUUUUAAAAGUGUCGUUAUAUACGGUUUUUGUUGUAGUGAUCGAUGCCCGAAAAGUAGAACAAAAAUAAUAAUAAUAAUAAUAAUAAUAAUAAUAAUAAUGUUUAUAAUAACUAUAUCUUGUUAAUUCUUGUUUAUUUUUAACAAAUUAAGGGAUGGAACUUGUUUAUUUAUGUAGGUAUUUGCACCUGCAUCACUAAAAACUUGUUUAUUAAUGUAGAAAAAUAAACAAGAAUUAACAAGAUAUAGUUAUUAUAAACACUAUAUCUUGUUAAUUCUUGUUUAUUUUUAACAAAUUAAGGGAUGGAACUUGUGUAUUUAUGUAGGUAUUUGCACCUGCAUCACUAAAAACUUGUUUAUUAAUGUAGAAAAAUUAGGAUAUUGAUCUAAAAUAACUUUUAUAUAGAUAGAUAUCUAUUGCAGAGAAAACACACAAAUAAGAAAGAUUUUUAUAUGCAUGCAUGUGUCACGAAUAGAAACCGUACAUAUAUGCAUAUUUUUAGGGGUAUAUUUACGUGCAAAACUUGAAUUAUUUUUCUUAAUUUUUACUAAUUAACCUUAGUAAAGCUCUAUAAUAGUUCGAAAAUAACCAAGAAUAGCUAAUUAUUAUCCAAGCAGGGUUGAUCAAGAGUCCUACAUAUUAGAGGUAUAUUUAUGAUUGUUUAAUUUCUUUUUUUAACAAUUAGACAAACUAACUAAGGUACCCAAAUUCAACAUCUUGGUUAAUUACUUAAAAACACAUUACUAUAUAUGAUUUGACCAAAACUUUCCAAAGCAUACAUAUGAUCGAAUUAACUCAUUCAAAGUCCAUAUAUGUAUAUAUUUUACUUCUUUUUUAUUAUUGCAUUGAUUGAAAACACGAAAAUUCUCACAUGAAAAGGGAGGUGGGGGGAGAUCGAGUGUGUGAUCACAUGACUCUGCCCCUGUUGGAUGGAGAGGGGGUGGCUUGUCCUUAUUACAUUAAAUUAAAGAAGCACAUAGCAUGGUGUGGUGUGGUGUGGUGUGGUGUGGUGUGUUGUUCUCUUCUCAUCCGUGAAGGGAACAUGCAUGUAGGCGUUUUCUUUUAUUCCAUGCAUGUUCAAUGAUAGCUUAAUUUAAUAAUUGGAGGGGACGGGUCACAUUUGUUUGGUAAGUAUUAUGAUUGUUUAAUUAAUUACUAUUUUGGAUGGUUUAUAUUUCAGGUGGUUUUGAGGUUGGAUGUGUAUUUUAAGCUCACAAUUCGAGCUCGUAAGUCAUGUUCAUGCUUUACAAUUGCGGUAGUCGUGUUAGUUCGAAGAUCAUAAGCUUAAAAUGCUUAUGGAAUUUAAUUACUUGUUGUUCGUGUUGCAUAUAUUAUGUUUUGUUGUGUUAUUUUUAUGUUAGCUAGAUAGCUUUAUGUUAUGCAGAUAUAAGUAGGACAUGUUUAUUGAAUCUCUCUCAAAAAAUUAAAUUCGAGCUCAAUUUGUUGUUUGAAUUUUUGAAUUUGAAUUCAAUUUUGAUUGUCUAGUUAUGAGGUACUCAGGGUUUUCGAUCUAGACUGAAUAAUCUGGUUCGUGUUUGAAGUGGUUUUACAUGUUAUUAAUCGGAUCCAUAUUAAAAUAGUUGGUUACAUAACUAACAUACCUAUCUUAUGUGGUUAGUGACCUAAAAAACUAGGGUUGUUAGCUCACAUGGCAAGGCCAAAUGGAGAAGUUAAAACUCAAUCCAUGUGCCAUAGGUUUAGCAUAUAUAGGAAGGAUUAAAUCAAAAGCAAAAUAAUUUUAGCUUAGGCAUGUGAUAUGAGGGGUUUCAUAUUAAUUUGCACAGGAGAAUAUUAGAAAUUAAAUUAAUGGUGAAGGGAUUAGAGAGAGAUUAAUCAAAACCACUUCUAGUAAUUUGGGCCAUUGGGAGGAUGAAAAAGAGUGCAUGUUUGGAUGCUUUGGAUACCAUAUAUGAAAUAAUUGAUAUAGCAAAAAUAUUGUAUAUUAUUGUUCUUUUGUAUUCAUUGGGAACAUGUACAACUCAAAGGGUUUGACUUAGUUGAGGGGACAAGAUGUGGAAGAAGCAAAUAAAUGUAUGAGCUUUGCGGUUCCAUUAUGUUAUUAAUUUAUUUAUUUUCCCUUUCUUUGCUUCAUCAAGUGUUCCAUAUUGAGAUGUGAGUAUGUUUUUCACACACAAAGGGAUUAAGUAAAAAAAUUUACUUUUAUAAUCUUCUUACCCCAUAAUCUUCUUUUACCAUUAAUUAGACUAAUAAGUAUUUAUAAAUGUAGAUUAGUAGAUAAUUAGCUUGGUUUUGCAUUAUUCAUUGCAUCUGAAAUUGCAUAUCUUCUUUUUUUUUUCUUUUUUUGACAAUUGUAUCUUAUAACUCAUGUAAUCGAUCUUAAAAAGGAAAAUAAUGAAACUCCUUCUACUCUAAUAAUAAGAGUGCGAACAGACAACAGAUUAUUGCUAAAGUCCGCAAAAUAUUGCCCUCAUGAGCUGAUGAUAUAUUGGCAUAUACAGAGAGUUUCAAUUAUUUUAUACAUAUACACAGUCACAUACGUCAUAUUUAUUUAUCGAUAUUUUUUAUAUCAUAGUGUUCUAAAAUUACUAUUUUGUAUCCAUUUCUUUGUUUAUGGCACAAAUGAAAUGUUUGUUACCUUCAUAUGGCAAUUCAUGUGCAAGCUAAAACUAAAGCAUCCCUCUAAUGGGCCGGGCCCAAUAGAGUCAUCAUUAGGCCUAAAUUAGGCCCAAGGGAUAAACUCGGGCCCGAGCCGAGCCCAAUAUGAGGUUAAAUUGAGUUGCAUUUUGGGCAUGAUGAUUUCUUUUUAUUUUUUAAUUUUCCGCAUACAAAUAAUUGAGAAAUAGGUUAAAGAAUUUUUUCUGAUCCAACCCGUAGGAAUCAAUAGAAAAGGCAAAUCCCCUAUGAUACACCACAUCAAAUAGCAAUGAUUCGAAGCACUUCUUUUUACAUUACACUAUUUCGGAAACCUAAGGACUCGAUCGUAUGGAUAUGUAAAAUACAGGAUUUCCAAUCCUAGCAGGAAGAGAAAUAGGUUUACUUCCAAGAUUGUGAUUUAUUUGAUACUCAAGAUAAUUUGUGUUAUAAAUAAAAGCAUGAAUAAAGUAGAAUUAAUAUUCCAAAAGUUUUCUAGAAGAGUAAUUAAUUUUCAUGUAUUCACUUUUUUUUGCACAUUUUCUUCUAGCCUUUUAUCUUUAUCUUACUAGCUUUUUCUUUCUUGCAUUAAUUUUUUUUUUUUUUACUUCACUAGCUUUGCGAAAAGUAGCCUAGUUUGGACACUUUUUUGCCUAAUCUUUAGCAAAAAUAUACAACUUCUCCAAGUUGGAAAAUAAAAAUGCAAUUUCAGGUUGGGGACCAAUUACCCUCAACUCAUUGAAAAUCAAUAUUUUAUGCAAUGACAUUGCCAAUUUUCUUAGUAAUAAUCCCUUUCUUGAAAAGAAUUCUAAGUCAAUACUCAUAACUAAGAAUGGACCAAAGAAAUCAACUAUAUAUAUUUAUCCAUAUCUCCUUAUGCUUUUGCAAAAUAAUGCUAUCAUAUACUAGUAUAUAUAACACAUAAAAAAAAAAAAAAGCACCCAAAAGAGAAAAUAUAAUGGUUGCGUCUUUCUCUCGCUCAUUCUUUUUUGUUGUUUGUACGUAAGCCAUGACAAUAGUGGCAUCGCUGCCAUAAAUCAUAACAAUAGUACAUAUUUCAGGCAUAUAUAACCAUCUGCUAAAGAGAUGUAUAUAUAUAUAUAUCUGCUACUAAGUACAGUAAAAAAUCAUAUUGCAUGACCUUAUCAUACGAAAAGUUCUAGUUGUACAUCCCAAAAAGGGGUUUAAAUUUCAUACACUUUCAUCCUAGAAUUCGUAAAUUCUUUCAUUUGACCGCUCAUUCUUUUUUUGUUUUUUGUACGUACGCGGUGACAAUAGUGGCAUCACUACCAUAAAUCAUAACAAUAGUACAUAAUUCAGGCAUAUAUAAUUAACCAUCUACUAAAGAGAUGUAUAUAUUGUUAGGAUUUCCAUAUUUUGUGGCCCAAUUAAUCAUAUUUAAUUAGGAUUUGCUAUAGAUAAAGGUCAAUCCUAAUAAAUAUAGAACUACUUGAUAUGGUAUAUUUUAUCCCUAUCCCAUCUAUUUAAAGUUUAAAUAGAAUCCUAAUCAGACUUUGAUGGGAAGUCGAUCUGGACUCUAUAUAAAGGGGUAUUGGUCCUGCCACCUUCAUAUACGCAUUCUGGUGAAGAAUUACCAUCGGUUCCACACCAUACGGCAGAGUGCCUGAGAUAGGAGGAGAAAUCAAAUCACCCAAGUUCGGUUCGUGACUUUCAGAUCGUAGCCGGACUUCCAGCUUCCGCAAGAUUAAUCAAGAAUCUCUUCUUUAUGGCGCUCUGUGAGUUAUUUUAUAUUCUUGUUUUGAUCCUGGAUUUUUGGUAUGUAUUUAUUUGCGGUUUUGUUUUACAUACCUAUAAAGUUCCAUCAUAUAUAUCUGCUACUAAUUAAGUACAGUCAAAAUUAUAUAGCACGCUAGCUUUAUCAUAAGAAAAGUUCUAGUUGUACAUCCCAAAAAGGAGUUUAAAUUUCAUACACUUUCAUCAUAGAAUUCGUAAAUUCUUUCAUUUGGCCUGACAAAAAUCAAAUAUUGGCCAUUGGAUGAAGGGGAGUAAAAUUUAUAGCUUUUUUUGGGGUGUAUGGAUAGCGUUGCUCUUUUUAUAAUAAUUUGAUUACAAAUUUUCUCACAUGACUAGUUCUUCAUAUAUAUAGAAAGAAAGAAGUAAGUAAUUAGCAAAAGAGACCAAGUAAAAAGUUGAACAUGAGAAGAGAUUUUAAUCUAAUUAAGAUACCUUGGAAGCAUAGUUUUCACAUUUGAAGUACUAGGAAGAUUCUUUUGUCAUGUCCCUUUACACAUUGAUGGGACCAUCAAAUAGUUAGGUAGCUAGAAACAAAUCAAAAAUAUUGUGCAUAAAACUAUAUAUACAAACUAAUUAUUAUGGGAAGGGUUUUUUAAGUUUCUUUUUUCAAGUUACGUUCUUUCAUUUUUCCCACUAAUUAAACCUCUCUUGUAUUAAUAUAAUUUUCACUCUAACUUAGGCAAUUUGAUCACAUCUUGAUCUCUCCACUGAUAUGCCAUGUUCAUUCUUUCAUUAAAUAAUACAUAUAUACAUCUUAAGAGAGAGAAUGAUAUAGAAAAAUAUAAUUGAUUGGUUAUAUAUAUAUAUAUAUAUCAUGUGGGCAAUUUAGAUUUUUUGAGAUAAUACAUAAGUGUUUAGAAUAUAAUAUAUAAAAAAGAGUCCUACUAUAUUUUAUUUGUUUAAGCUAUUAAUUAAAAUAAUCCAAUUUUUCACAUGAUAUUUAUAUCAAGUUCUUUAUUUUAUUUAUAUUCUUCAAUUAUUUUCGUUAUAUUCUCCUAUUUCAUUUAAACAAAUAAGUACUAGAGCUAUUAAAAUCUUCAGAAUAUGUAAAAACAAAAGCUAAAAAUUCUAUGCAAUCUUAUUUAAAACAAUUAAAUGAAUAAAUUUUUGAUUUAGUGACGAGAGAUAAAAAUAAAAGAGAGAUUUGGUAUACAAUAAUUAAAUCUAUCAUGCAAUAACCAUAUCUGAUAAUAUAAUUUUAUGUACUAUUAUUAAAAAUAAUGAUCUCUACAUAUAAUCAUAUUUUAUUUUUUAUUUUUUUUUUUACAAACUGAUUUAUUUAUUUAUUUAUUUUUUUAGUUUAAUUUUUUUUAAAAAAAUAUAUAUCUACAUGCGGCACACGGUUUAAGGACUAGUCCGCACUAUAUUGCAUGCCGACAAAAGUACGAUAAAAUUAGUUGAUUGUAAGUUUCCGUAUAGAAACUUCUAUGCGUACGUCACGAAAGAUAAAAUUAGAAUUUAGCCAAAUCCGACUCAUUCUAUUUUCUCUAGAAAUUUAUUUGUAUAUAUAUCCCUUCUAGAAUAAUAAUAACAUUAACAAUCACCAUGAUUUAGAAUGUUAUAAGUAAGAUUAUUUAUUUAUUUAUUUUGAAGAGGUUAAUACCCUAAAUUAGGCGAAUUAAUCACCAAAAUGUCUAAAACACAUUAAAAUACGUACCCAAUAAGUUAUUUUUAUGGAGUUGUCACUUUGUAAUCUAGCUUGUUUACUGAUGUAUCAAUAAUAUUCUCGAUAAUAUGAAUAAUAUUAUACUAUUGUAAAUAAAACUAAAAUCAGAUGAAGAGAGCAUUGAUAGACUAUUUCGUAAUCAAGGUGCGUCGACUAAACAUUAAUUUUGUGUUAUAGUCAUAGAUUCUGGGAAGAAACUACGUUCACACUUGCUAGAAAAAAGGAAGAUCCUUUCGCUGAUCCUUUCGCUGGCUCCUGUUUCACACCGUACAAUUAAUCAUUGUUACAUUUAGCUUAAUUUAAUUUACUUGGUUUUGUUCACUUACCAAUUAUACAAAUCCAUCCCACUGUUUUCUUUAAAAAAAAAAAAAUUAAAAAGAAAAUGAGGGGUUUUCAGAAGAGUUAUUAAUAAUGGCUCAAAUAAAGUUUAUCAAAAGACUUAUUAAUUUUUGCUCAAAUUAAUUGACAUGGUCUUGGUAUUGUUAAUUGGUCAUUUUUAGUGAAAGGAUUAUGGACUAAUUAUUAAAUAAUUAUAUUAAUAGAUUUAAAUUAAGGGUAAAUUUUAAUUUGCUCUUCAUAUAGUAUAACAUGUACAUUUUCACUUUUGCUACUCUAUGGCUUUAACUUUUUUUUCCAAUGAAAAAAAAAACCUAAAUUUUUAAAAUCAUAAGGUGCUAGACUCUUUAAUAAUAAACUUUUACAAUAAAAACAUUAAGUAAAAUAAUAAUAUUUUUAAAUAUAAUUUUUUAAACUACGACAUGACAAAAAUACGCAAAAAUAAAAUAAAACAUUACCUUAAAAAAAUUUACUUUACCCUUAACAUAUUUUUUAAAUAUAUUAAUAAGGGUUAAUUUAAUACAGGUCCCUACAAACAUAGUAAAUGACAAAUAUAUUUCUGCAAAAUUCAACUUUAUAUGUUGUCCCUACAAAAAUUCUGUUGUCAAAUAUGUCUCUAUUGUUUGCUAUCGUUAGAAAACCAUUAAAAAAAUAUUUAUAUUUUCAAUUUUACUAUCACAAAUAUAUUUCUUCAAAAGUCAUAACAGUAUAAUAUAAGAGGAGUGAAAAUGUCAAAAACUAAUCAGAAUUAAGUAUUUAACCAAUGAUUAAUUAAUUUUUUCUAACAAAUUCUAACGACAUAAACAUAUUUGAAAAUAUCGGAACUUUUAUAGAAACAACAUAUAAGAGUUGAAUUUUAUAGAAAUAUCUCCAUCAUUUACUAUAUUUACAUGUAUCUAUAUAUAAAAUUAACCCAUAUUAAUAAUAAAUAAGCAUAGAGGCAGCUGGAUAAUAUCAUCUCACCAGUAUCCACGUGGCAAUUAAAAAAAAAAAAAACUACUGCGCGUGCAAACACAUGCGGGCCACGUGUCACGUAGCGCAUCGGACGCAAAGAUUCCCGACAAAAAUCCCCGUUCACACGUAUCGCGAUCCCCCGCGCGGGGCGGCGCCGACGUGGCACCUUCGGUGUGAGGGCCUCGGGCUGCGUGACGUCGCACCGGUCUUUAGUAGGAGAUCAUAUUUGCUGACACGUAGGAACCCGGUUAGCCGUCCCACGUGGCGUUGACCGUUGACCCUCCCAUCACCACCACCUAUAAAUACGUAGCCGAUCCUCCUCCAAUUGAACCUUCGCCGUAGCACUAAAUUCCACACCAAAUAACCCCCCAAAAAAAAAGAAAAAAAAAAAGAAGCAAAUUGAAUCGUUCUAGCGAGGGAAAGAAGAGAGAAGGUAUGGGGAAUUGUAUCGACUCCCGAGGCGGCGCGACGUGGGUCGACGACGACGACUGGGGAUUCUCCGACGAGGAUGAGCGCAAGAGGAGUCCGUUGCUCGGAAAGAAGGGAUCGGCGGCGGCGGAGGCGGCGGCGGUAGGCCCGAGAGAGGUGAAGAUUAAGAUCACGAAGAAACAGCUGCGAGAAUUGUUACGAAAGGCCGAAGGCAAAGGGGUGCCAGCCGACGAGGUCGUGGCGGAGCUUGCCUGGUUUGUUGAGUUCGGCCGCGAACAUCGCGAAUCGCAUUGGAAGCCCGCGUUACAAAGUAUACCGGAGACCGGAGAGUAAUGAAAAUGAAAAGGAAAAAAAAAUUGUAGCAAUGAUGAUGAUAAGUUUGGUUCUUUGAUUCUUUUUAGAAAUUUUUUCUUUUAUGUUUUUAGCAGCAUUUGUGGAGUACCGCUUUUUAGCAGUUUCUCCUUUGGAGGGUGGACGUGUAGAUUUGCAUAAGGUAGUGUAAAUAUAUAGAUUUGGAAGGAGAAAUGGGGAGGGGGGAUAUGUUGGUUUUUCCAUUGUAUAGAUCGUAGGUUCGUAUCUAUGUAUUACGGAUAUUUCUAUAAGUCUUGAGGAUUCGUGUCGGACUCAUAUCCGAUGUGGACAUUUUUUAGACACGCGUUCAAUAGUUAUCUAUGGCGCAUACAUUUUAAAUAUAUAUAUAUAUAGUGAGUUUACUAUGCUUUUGGAAGCACGGAGCCUUCCGUACUUUUAGGUCAUUUUCGAAGUUGCGACUUUCGAAUCGUCGAUCGGCUCCAUUAAACUUGAUCUAGAGUAUUUGAAGUAACUAGAAAAUAAAUUUUAUGGUUUUUUGAUAUCAUUUGUCUAGUGAUCAAAAGGGCUCAAAAUCAAUAAUUUUAAUGGCCAUAGUGAACCGUUUGUAAGUUUAACGGUGUAGAAAUAUCCAAAUCACAUGAAAUUUUGAUAGAAAAUUCUUUAUACUAUAUAAAACAAGAUCAAUAUCUUUGAUUUAAAAUUUUAAUGUCAUAUUAUCAAGUUUUGUAAGAUUUUUAUUUUCAGCCGUUGAUUUUGAGCCCCUUUGUUCAUUAGGCAAAUAAUAUCGAAAAAUAGCAUAAUUUAUUUUCUAGGUACUUCAAAUACUCUAGAUCAAGUUUAACGGAGCCGAUUGACGAUUCGAAAGUCGCAACAUAGAAAACAACUGGAAGCACGGAAGGCUCCGUGCUUCCAGAAGCAUAGUAGCCUCGCUCUCUUUCUCUCUCUAUAUAUAUAUAUUUAUUUUAUCUUUUUUAUACAUAUCCUAUAUAAAUGAUUAAUAUUUUAGCUUUUUGAUGAUUGCAGAUAAAUUAUUUUGGACAAUAUAAAUAAAUUUGAUCACACCUUGACCUCUCCACUGAUAUGCCAUGCAUGUUCAUUCUUUCAUUAAAUAAUACAUAUAUACAUCUUAAGAGAGAGAAUGAUAUAGAAAAAUAUAAUUGAUUGGUUAUAUAUCAUGUGGACAAUUUAAAUUUUUGAGAUAAUACAUAGUGUUUAGAAUCUAAUUAGUAAGUAGUGAACUUGAAUAGAUGAGCACAUAAUAGCAUCUAGUAUGAAAAUUCUUCCUGAAUAUAAUAUAAAAUAAAGAGUCCUACUAUAUUUUAUUUGUUUAAGCUAUUAAUUAAAAUAAUCCAAUUUUUCACAUGAUAUAUCAAGUCCUUUUUUUUAUUUAUAUUCUCCAAUUAUUUUCGUUAUAUUCUAAAAUUUCAUUUAAACAAAUAAGUACUAGAGCUAUUAAAAUCUUCAGAAUAUGUAAAAACAAAAGCUAAAAUUUCUAUGCAAUCUUAUUUAAAACAAUUAAAUAAAUAAAUUUUUGAUUUAGUGACAAGAGAUAAAAAUAAAAGAGAGAUUUGGUAUACAAUAACUAAAUCUAUCUAUAACCAAAUCUGAUAAUAUAAUUUUAUGUACUAUUAUUAAAAAUAAUGAUCUCUACAUAUAAUCGGAUUUUAAAUUUUUUAUAUUUCUUUUUACAAACUGAUUCAUUUUUUUAUUUUUUUUAGUUUACUUUUUUUUUUUAAAGAAAUAUCAAAAUGCAGCACACGGUUUAAGGACUAGUCCGCAGUAUAUUGCAUGCCGACAAAAGUACGACAAAGUAGUUGAUUGUAAGUUUCCGCAUAGAAACUUCUAUGCGUAUGUCACGAAAAGAUAAAAUUAGAAUUUAGCGGAAUCACCGGCCGUCCCUAGAACAAGUCGCAAAGGGCUCGGUGAUUGGUACCCGAGACUCAAGUUCGAAUCCUAGUUGAUUCACAUUUCCAGCUGAGUUUAUUUCUAAAUGAAAUAAAUGAAACGGAUAGCAUGCUACCUAUUUCUCCAAAAAAAAAAAAAAAAAAAAAUUAGCGAAAUCAUACUCAUUCUAUUUUCUCUAGAAAUUUUUUUUGUAUAUCCCUUCUAGAAUAAUAAUAACAUUAACAUUAACAAUCACCAUGAUUUAGAAUGUUAUAAGUAAGAUUAUUUAUUUAUUUAUUUUGAAGAGGUUAAUACCCUAAAUUAGGCGAAUUAAUUACCAAAAUGUCUAAAACACAUUAAAAUACGUACCCAAUAAGUUAUUUUUAUAGAGUUGUCACUUAGUAAUCUAGCUUGUUUACUGAUGUAUCAAUAAUAUUCUCGAUAAUAUGAAUAAUAUUAUACUAUUGUAAAUAAAACUGAAAUCAGAUGAAGAGAGCACUAAUAGACCAUUUCGUAAUCAAGGUGGGUCGACUAAACAUUAAUUUCGUGUUAUAGUCAUAGAUUCUGGGAAGAAACUACGUUCACACUCGCCAGGAAAAAGGAAGAUCCUUUCGCUGGCUCCUGUUUCACACCGUACAAUUAAUCAUUGUUACAUUUAGCUUAAUUUAAUUUACUUGGUUUUGUUCACUUACCAAUUAUACAAAUCCAUCCCACUGUUUUCGAAAAUGAGAGGUUUUCAGAAGAGUUAUCAAUAAUGGCUCAAAUAAAGUUUAUCAAAAGACUUAUUAAUUUUUGUAUGCUCAAAUUAAUUGACAUGGUCUUGGUAUUAUUAAUUGGUCAUUAUUAGUGAAAAAAUUAUGAAAAAUAAUUAUAUUAAUAGAUUUAAAUUAAGGGUAAAUUUUAAUUUGAUCUUCAUACAGGAUAACAUAUUUUCACUUUGCUACUCUUCCAACGAAAAAACCUAAAUUUUAAAAUCAUAAGGUGCUACACUCUUUAAAAUAAUAUUUUAAACUAUGACAUGACAAGGUAAAAAUACACAAAAGUAAGAUAAGACAUUACCCUCAAAAGAAUUUACUUUACCCUUAACAUAUUUUUUAAAUAUAUAAAUAAGGGUUAAUUUCAUACACGUCAUGAAUGGCAAAUAUAUUUCUGUAAAAUUCAACUUCUAUAUGUUGUUUCUAUAAAAAUUCUGUUACUUUCAAAUAUGUCACUCUGAUUUAUUACCGUUAGAGAACCAUUAAAGAAAUAUUUAUAUUUUCAAUUAUGUCAUUACAAAUAUGUUCCUUCAAAAAUAUAACAGUAUAAUAUAAGAUAAAUAAAAAUUUCAAAAAUUAAUCAAAGUUAAGUAUUUAAUCUAUAGAUAACUUAAUUUUUCUAACGAAUUCUAACGAUAAGAAUAUAUUUGAAAAUAUCAAAACUUUUAUAAGAACUAUAUAUAAAAAUUUAAUUUUAAAUAAAUAUAUUUAUCAUUCACUAUAUAUAUCUGCAGUAUCUAUAUAAAAUUAGCCGUUAUUAAUAAAUACGCGUACAGCUGCAUAAUACAAUCUCACCAGCAUCCACGUGGCAAUUGAAAAACAAAAAUACUAGUGCGCGCGCGAACACAUGCGGGCCACGUGUCUCGAAGCGCAUCGGACACGAAGAUUCCCGACAAAAAUCCCCGUUCACACGUAUCGCGAUCCCCCGCGCGGGGCGGCGCCGACGUGGCACCUUCGGUGUGAGGGCCUCGGGCUGCGUGACGUCGCACCGGUCUUUAGUAGGAGAUCAGAUUCGUUGACACGUAGGAUCCCGGUUAGCCGUCCCACGUGGCGUUGACCGUUGACCCUCCCAUCACCACCACCUAUAAAUACGUAGCCGAUCCUCCUCCAAUUGAACCUUCGCCGUAGCACUAAAUUCCACACCAAAUAACCCCCCAAAAAAAAAGAAAAAAAAAAAGAAGCAAAUUGAAUCGUUCUAGCGAGGGAAAGAAGAGAGAAGGUAUGGGGAAUUGUAUCGACUCCCAAGGCGGCGCGACGUGGGUUGACGACGACGACUGGGGAUUCUCCAAGAGCGCAAGAGGAGUCCGUUGCUCGGAAAGAAGGGAUCGGCGGCGGCGGAGGCGGCGGCGGUAGGCCCGAGAGAGGUGAAGAUUAAGAUCACAAAGAAACAGCUGCGAGAAUUGUUACGAAAGGCCGAAGGCAAAGGGCUGCCAGCCGACGAGGUCGUGGCGGAGCUUGCCUGGUUUGUUGAGUUCGGCCGCGAACAUCGCGAAUCGCAUUGGAAGCCCGUGUUACAAAGUAUACCGGAGAUCGGAGAGUAAUGAAAAUGAAAAGAAAAAAAAAUUUGUAGUAAUGAGGAUGAUAAGUUUGGUUCGAUCUUUGAUUCUUUUUAGAAAAUUUUCUCCUUUUUUUUUUUCUGUUUUUAGUAGCAUUUGUGAAGUACUGCUUUUUAGCAGUUUCUCCUUUGGAGGGUGGACGUGUAGAUUUGCAUGAGGUGGGUGUAAAUAUAUAGAUUUGGAAGGAGAAAUGGGGUUGGGGGGAAUAUAUAUGUUGGUUUUUCCAUUGUAUAGAUCUUAGGCUGGUAUCUAUGUAUUAUGAACAUUUCUACAAGUCUCGGAGAUCUGUGUGGGACUCAUAUCCGAUAUGGACAUUAUUUUAGACGCGCCGCGCGUCCAAUACUUAUCCAUAGCGCAUACAUUUUAUAUAUAUAUAUAUAUAUAUAUAUAUAUUUUACUUUUUUCAUACAUAUCUUAUGUAAGAUGAUUAAUAUUUUAGCUUUUUGAUAAAUGUAUAUAAAUUAUUUUGGACAAUGUAAAUAAAUUAUAUAUAAUAGAACUUUUUUAAAAAAAAAAUAUUUGAACUAUCAAUGAAAAUUUUAUAUUAAUUUUUAUUCGUAUGAAAAAAUAUAAUAAUAUUUUAUUAAAAUUAAUAUUAUAUAUAUAAUUAAUAUUUACUAUUAUAUUAAUAAUAUUAUAUUUUACUAGCAAUGUACACGUCGUGUUCGUGUUCUAAUUUUUUAAAAACUAUCGAGUCGCCGUGUUCGAAUCGUGCCAUGUCCCGUGUCAGUGUUCGUUACGUCUAGGUUGGUAUAUAUAGAGUAUAAAAAUAUUUACCUAUCUCCAACUAUCAUGACAACUUAUUAUUGACUCUCCAUUUAAUCUUAUUUCUACUUUCAAUCUUUAUUUAAUGUGAAUAUCCUUCAAAUGGAAGGGUUAAUUGGUGAUUUAAUGUUGCACAAGUCAUGUGAAAAAAACUUUCUAGAGUCUCCCAUUCAGCACAAAUUUUCUGCAACAGCAGUGUACAGAAAAUUUUUACACACCGGUCGAUCUCGCAAUGUAUGAGAAGACAAGAUCGAUCUCACCUUUCAAAUGAGCCGCAAAAUUAAUAACCAGAAGAAAUUUCAUGCACAUCGAGUACGUGGUCCCUGGUCGACUCCAUAUUUUAAGAGCUUUUCAAUGGAUUUUCAAAGAGCCGGUGCCACUCUUGGGGUUCUUGUCGCCGCGAACUUGUACAAGGACUUUGAUGCAAUCUAACAAGAUCUUAGCAAAAUUUUCCAAAUGAGACAACAUAGCAGGUGCGAGCCCGAUCACCGCAGAAGAGAUCGUCGUCAAGAUCAAUGUCUGUAAAUAUGCAAAUGGUUGGUGGUUCUGCACCAAAUUUAACAGUAAAGUGACAUUGACGCGAAGUUGACAUAUCGAUCGGUUGAACAGUGAUUUCCGAUCAGACUUGCGCAGUUAAAACACGAUACUGAACUUUACAUUUGCUCUCAACCACACUAUUAGAUCUAAAAUUGGUUCUCUCUAUACAGUGCAUUAUUACAUAUAGCUUACAAGAAUCAUGUUCCAUACAUAUAGAAUGUUAAGGACUACAACAAAUGAGCUUCUACAAGAGAUUGCUGAUCACUUUAGGCUUUUCGAAACCUUUUCUACUGCCGAUAAUGGGACCAAAAUGUUGAACCAUUCCUUUCCAUCAAUGUACCGAGUUAAGGACUAGAUCUGUUAACUUGAUUGCAUAUACCGCGGAACAUCCGUGCACAUAUAAGGUAAUGAUUAUAGAGGAACAAGCUAGCGUUGAAUGAGUAUUAGAAGAGACAAAAACAAAGACAUAAGCACUGGAGACUUCAUAUCCAUUACAUAAACACCUGAAAAGCAAGAAGAGGAGGUAAGCUGAUGGGCACAAUAAAAAUAAUUGUCGAGUAUAAUACGCAAAUCAGAGAAAUGCAGAGCUUGUUUGUGAUCAAUUUCAUUUGUGUUCUUUCGGAAUUGUCAUUGUAUGUGGUCCAUCUUUCUUUAACUUGGUCAGGUUAGUUUCAACUUUCAACCAACUAAUAGCUAAGUGCAAUGAAUUUAAAUUUCAGGUGGUAAUUGUUCCAGAACAGUAACCUAGAUCAGGUAACUUUAAUGAAGAGAAAUUUCUAUAUGGAAAUCUAGUUUAAGAAGUAUUAUAACUACAGUUGCACGAGAAGAAAAUAAAUGAAAGUUUUUAUCCAAGGGUAUGCAAGAGGAAAAUUAUAUCAUAUGAAAAAUACAUUAUAUGCUCAAGAAUCCAAGUAAUUAACUUACCAUGUUGUGCAGAAGUUGCAGCUGGAAGUGCAGGAAAAUUAGUCGCUGAAAAGAUAAGAAAUAUCGAAGGUUACAGCCCAGACAGAGAGAGUGAAAGAAAAAAAAAAAAAAAAAAGAUGAUUGAGGAAGUAGGAAGCAAGAUUAGCAGAGCUGUAGAGGAUUUCAUCAUUCUUAACCAUGCCUAUUACCUAUGGAACUCGUGCUAGGCAUAUAUACAUGCGCUUACUGUAGAUUAGUACAUGUAUGAAAUUUGGAAUUUAGCUGAAACUAAAAAAGGGAUUGUGCACAUUUAAGUGUGAGUAUGAAACAUGCUAGCGAAUUAGGCACACAAGUUUAAAGCAAAUAGAGAACAAGAAAAAGGUAAUAUCAAAUGACGACAAUUAUGACAACAUCUCUGGAGAAUGCCAAAAGCACACCAUUUAUAUUUCACUUAAAUGAUAAAAGAUACCAAAAAGAAUACUAGAAUCUGAGCCCUUUCAAUUAAGGGCCUGUUUGGCCGGCUAUAGCUUCUGCAGUAGUCUUGCUUGAGUAGGCCUUACGAUACUUUUUGACUAGAAUCUCCUCUACAGCUUCUCGCUGCAGCAGAAGCAGAAGCCCAAAAAAGGAGACUUUUGGGGCUUAAAAGCUUACUUUAACUCCUUGCCACAACAAAAGAUCUAGAAUAUUGGUUAGCCAAAUGCCUUGAUUCCAGAAGUUUUUUGCUUUUCGGAGGAGUUUAGCGAUUCAGAAGCCAAAGUAGACAGGCACUGAUGGAAUCUUUUUGUUAUUGUACUUGAAGAUGCAAUAGUUAUAAGGAUAAACAAGUUGAGGCAUAGAGCAGUGACAUACACUUAUUGCACGAAGACGCAGAAGCUUGAGAUGAAGAGGGCCAAGGAGCUGCAAUAUUGUCAUUUAGAUCGCAAGUGAAACUAAUCCCAGAUGAACGGUCGAAUGUGGCAUCAGAUGGCAAACUUGGCAAGAGGCAUCCAGAUUCUGGAGCAAGAUAUUGGAAAUUAUAAUGAAGCAAAUUAGUACGUCAUUUGAUGAUAAAAUAAUGUUAAAAGAUUAUUCAAAAUAACCAAGAACACGAUGUACGAUCAAAAAUUUAAAUGACAUGUAGGAUUAAGAUAAAUGUAGGAUUAAGUUUUAUAAGAGUGUCAAAUCAUUCUUUUAGGUAACCUACAUAUUGUACUUGGAGACAGGCAUUCCGACUUACCAUUAAAGACCUCAGAAAAAAAUGAGUGAGAAAAUUUCUUGGUUAAAACUAUUGAUAUCUCUAAAUAAUCAACUUAGUCACACAAAAUUCUUCUAAGACUAUAUACACUUACUUAGCAUCAGAAUUUCAUAAAAUUCCCAAACCAAAAUAUAAGUGUGAACACUUAAAAAACAAGUUAAGAGCCCGUGUUGUUCAUUUACCUUCGUCCUUUUAUACUCUUGCUAAGAAAGCUUAUGAAGAAUCCUAAUUAAUUUCUUUCCCCCAGAAUGUGAAUUCUCCCAAUAUGUCCAGAUUUAUGUUUCAUAUAAUGAGCACGAAUGACAUGGAUAUAAUGCACCAAUCAAAGUUCUAUAUGGUAAAAAAACAUGUACUGUUUUGCAAUUCUAUCAAGAUAAGAUUGCUACAUCAAGUCAAAUGGCAAAUCAACUCAGUUAGAGCUACUUUGCUUAAAGGACAAACAAAAAAAGAAAAAAAAAGAGCUGCAUUACAGAAGUGCAUUACAUGGAAAACCUUUAAGUAAUCUGGAUCUUGCUCAAGUAAUAAAAGGAUAGUGUAAGAUAAAAGAAAACCAUAUGACAAGUAAACACCGAUACCAAUAAAAAUUUCUGAAAUCAAUCCAGUACAACAUAACAUUUGAAUAGCUUUAUUUACCUUGAGAGCCAACUGGUUGACAGUUCCGAUCAAUUGGCAACAACCGCGAAAGAAAGGAAAGAAGAAGAAGAAGAAGAAGAAGAAACAAUCAGUAUAUUAAUUUGAUAAAUUCAUAAAUCACCGGUACUAUAGAGAGACAAAAGCCAAAUAACUAAGUUUGACAAGGCUAACCUUGGAGAGAGAAGUCCUUAAGAGUUAUCUGGCACAAGCUGUAAAUGUUUGUGCUCACAUUCAUAUCUUGCAACUUUUGACCGAGCGAUGAGGCACAAUCCAGCGCUUGAAGAUUAGUUAUAAAGCUCUGCUUUUGCAAGUGAGAUACAUAGUUGUUCAUAGCAUUGCAGCACGAACUAUGGUUCGUGGGGCUUUCACCACAAGCUUUUGCAACCUUAGUAGUGUCUGGAAAAUCUAAUGGACAAGCUGCAAAGUGAAAUAAACAAUUUCAAACAAGACAUACACAUAAUCUUGUGUACUGAGGCAGCUUCACAAAUAGAUCAGCAGUUUGUAAAUUCAAAUUAUUCAAUAGUUCAGGAUCAUCAUAAUUUACCUCCAUUUACGUUACAGUUAGAUAUCUGCCUAAGUACUUGUUUCGCUGACGAAGCACUGAGCCUGCUCGACAACCAUCUGAGCACAAUGUCUCUGCAACUAUCAACUACAGAUGAAUUCUGAAGCGUCAAACCACCAUCGCUCAAAGCAAGUUUCUUAGCCGAUUCAUAAACAGCAUUCUGACAUAUUUGGCUACAGCACUCAUUGACUGAGUCAACUUUCCCACAAGCAGCCAACAGUUUCGAAGAGUCCACAAUGCUCUCAAACCCGUUAAUAUCAUUUACAGGACAAGACCCCCUCGUGAGGUUUGAGAAGUUAAUCGAGCAUACACUUUGGAGGUCGCUGCUGCCGCCUUGGCUUGCUAGAAGCUGUUGAAUAUCCGAGAGGCAAAAGUUUGCAUGAGUAGAAUCCAAGGCGAGCAAUCCUGUACUUUUGCUUGAUUGCCCAAUAAGAAUUGUUAUCAUCGCCUGAAGCUGGGGGCAACAAAUUACAUUGGCUAAGAAAGGGGCAAAAGAGGCGAAGCAAUCAACUGCAGUGGUACUCAUCAAACUGUCAACAGCUGUGAAGUUUAACGAGCAUUGCCCUAAACAAGAAGCAAAUAAUGGUCAGUUCACAUGUCAACAAGGUUCUUUCUUCUUCAGAGUAUACACCCCUGCAUUUGUGCAAAUUGCAUGAAUAGCUAGACGAAGUUGGUAUCUGUGUGCAUGUCUCUGCCGGAGGUAUCUAUGCACUACGUCUUUUGCAUGUACACCCCCAAGCAAGGGUCAAAUGCAAAUAAUUAUGGUUUCCAGGGGCAAGUACGCACACAGCAGUUGCAAAAUUUCACAUAUAUUCAGGUGUUAUUUAUGCUAAUUCUUUCCGAAACACAUGUAUAAAAAUAAUUUGUUUGUAUUUUUUUUUUUUUUUAAUUCCAUGAAUGCAACUCUACCAACUUGUUUUCCCUCGGAAUAUGACCCCAACCUGAUAAUUUUGGUGUGCUAUUGUUGAAAAAUGGAGCCAGGGGCGCAGGUGCAAGAAGAGGAAUGAAUGGUUGAGGGGCAUUGCUUGGAGAAAUUUCAGGCAAAAGGGGGGCAUCUGUUUCUCUAGAGUAGUCCACAUGACGCACUUGAGGUAAGCUAUGAGCAACUGUGUUUUCAAAUUUGAAGAAGAGUUCUUCAAAACCUGAAUGGUAAGUAAAAGCACAAUUAUUGGAAGUAAACAAAAUAACAUUGUGAUCUAAGAGUAUAUGUAUAAGCUAAAGAAUGAGAAAAUAUCUCCAUAACUGCAAUGAAAAAUACAUUAAUCAUACAAGACCUCACACAGGAUAGGAUGUACCACAUACAAUUCUAGACGAUCAGAAACAGGAAAUGGAACACAUCAAAGACAGUAAUCACAUUAAGAGUGGAGUGAUUCAACAAUGCAUUAAUCUUCUCUUAUUUCUAGCAGUAUUACUGUAUCAAGAAAAGCCCAUAUAACACAUUUAUCCUUUCGCCACCCAAUUUCUCGAUAUUGUCAUACCACAAGAUGGAAAAGAACCUGAUUUCUCUAAUUUUCCAGUUUCUUCCCCAGUUAUGCAACUCUGAAGAAGCACCAAAUUGGGGAUGACUUGUGCACUAAAAAUGGGGACUUGGUAAGUUUCUGUUGCAGGGAUUCUAGUUUAUCUAAUUCUGGUGUUUCUAGUUCAUCUUAACCCUGGAGUUCUGAUGGGCGCACCACAAAUCCUAGCUUAACUUACUUUCAUAUUUUGGGACUCUUACUACCAAGUUUAGAGAGUUGCGAUAGGGUUAAACUCUAAAAGGAAAUGAUCUAUUUAAAAGUAAGUAACACCACAAUGUAAAGCGCAUAUAAACGAAACAAAAAUUUAUCCUAGAGAGUUGUUAUGGACAAUUUCAUCACUAAUUACAGGAAAGGAAAAUUACCCCACAAGCAGGUUACAGAAACUCAACAACCACAUAGCCUAAAGUAUCAGGACACCAUGCGAAACUUACUGAUAUUUUUACGAGGCUAGAUUGAACAUCAUAAACCCUAAACAAUGUGGAAGCCAAUUUCGAUCUAUGCUAAAAAUAGCAUCUUUUUAGCUACAAUUGAUAGCACAGGAAUGCUGACCUAGAUAUUUAAGACCUGGGAAAGUACCCAAUACACGAAUUCUUCAAAACUAUAGUAAAUGAAACAGGUGAGCUAAACCAUUACAAACCACACGUAAACUCACAUUGGCACCAAAAUCCCCAAUACCCAUACCUUAGUUGCUUUAAGCUCUUCUUCUCGAGCUCCAUAAUGUACACCAUAAACCCUAGAACAUAAAUGUCUUAGAAAAAUCCCAUCUUUUAACUAAAAUUGACAGCUCAGGAGUAUCAAACCCUAGAAAUUUAACACUUUGGAGCGAACCAAAGCAAACAAAACCCUAAUUUCCCUGAUCAAAACCACCACAAAACACACUUAAAAAACCCCCCCAAUGCCCACCAAAUCCCCCACGACCCACCUCCCAAAACCCACCAAAUCACCCGAAAAACGUAAAAUUUACGCGAUUUACCCACGACCCAGGUGACAAAACCCACAGAUCAAGCUAAAAAACAUAAACUAACACCAACAAGGACAAAAAAAAAACCAAAAACAAAUCCAUAAAAAAAAAAAAAACAAACUAAUACUCACAUAAAAGGAGGAGAAGGGCACCAAGGAGCCUCGGAGUGAGAGGAACCAUCGUUUUUUUCCCCCUUUUUCUCUUUUUUCAAAAAAAUUCGAGCUCAAAGUGUUGUGCUGGAGAAGCUCAAAGCGAGAGAGGUGGAGGUGGUGAUGGGGACUCCACACUCCCCCCAUUAAAUUCGGUGCGUUUUUAUUAAUUGCGGCGGUUAUUUGACAUUCCCCACUGUUUGUUAAUUUUUAUUUAUUUAUUUUUUUAAAAAAAAAGAAGUGUCAAAGUGCUUUUAAUAAGUGUCGCAAGUAAGCUUUGACUUUUACUUAGUUUUGUGAUAAUUCAACUUGUUUAUUAUCACUAUUAUUAUUGUCUUUUAUUAAUUAUUUUAUUAUUUUUUGGGGGAAAAGUGGUGUGUUACUUGUCCUUGAAUAAAGGAUUUGGGAUAACCCUCUUUCUUUGCUAAUUCAUUGACUCAUUUAUAUAUUUUAUUCAACUUUGCGGACCAAUAUUUUGAAUAUACGAUAAUUAUGAAAUGUUUAAUAAAAGAUUAAAGUAUCAUCAAUAAUAGGUGAGUAAUGCUAUGAUUAUAUGUAAGGUCUAGGUCUAAACGUCACGGACACUUAUACAGAAAACGAGAUACGACACAACUCGGACACUGCGACUCGAUAACAUUUAAAAAAUUAGGACAGAACACGGAUAUGACAUAAACAUCGUUAAUAAAAUAUAUAUAGAAAAAGUAAAAUAAAAAUAAGUAUUAUAUAUUUUUUAGUUGUAUGCACUGUGGAUAUUGGUGUUAAAAGGACGUCCAAAAAGUGUCCACAUCGGACACGUGUCCGACACGAACACGCACGCAACCGACACUAACACCCCAGACUUAUAGAAGUGUCCGUGAUACAUAGAUCUAUGUUAUCAUAUAAUUUAUCUAAUUGAAUAAUUAGAUUUUGUUAUCUUACAAUUUAUAUAUCAUUUUAACUGUGACCACAAUUGCAUUUUCGUAAAAUAAUGUAGAGAUUAUUAUUUAGCCAAAAAAAACAUUUUGCAUAGUAUGAUGAUGAUGGUUUACAAGGUAAAAGUAAAAAACAAAUUUAUUAUUACUUCACAUAUAUGGUUUAUGGGGUAGCUUUUCUAAAGAAGCUCUUGAGGGGAUAAAUAAGUUCCAAGUGCUCAUUUGGCCUAACAUCUUUUCUAUUCAAUAAUUAAAAUUUGAUAGCGUGACGUAUCAAAAUAAAUUAUUCCAAUGCAAAGCCAAAAGUUGAAGAAUAUUUUGAGGCUUCAAAAGCGAAAAAAACAUAACUAUCAAUGCACAACUUAUUCCAGCUGUAUUCGAAUAGACUUUUUAGACCUAAUUUUGCUGUCAGAAUAAGUUACUUGGUAAUAUAAUAUUCAGUAUGAAAAUAUUUUUUUUGUGAUUAAAAGUUAAAAUUGUAAUUAAAUGACUAGAAUGAAAUAUGUUAUCCUAUCAACUGAUGAAUGUCGGAGCCCUUCGAAAAAUAAAAUGUAAACUUCUACCUUCCAAUUACAGAAUAUUUUUAUAUCGAAUAUAUUUUCAUCGAAUAACUUAUUCUGACACCUAAAACAAGCUCUAAAUUCUAAGCAAAAUUCAAGCACAUUCACAAACAUGUGCACUCAUUGGACUACUCCAUCCACAAUUUAAUGAAAUACAAUUUCCUCAUAACACUUUUUCUUCCAAAUGAGUAAAUUUUGGGGCCACAAUGUAGUCCUCAAUGAGUUGGCAUGUCCAUAACACAAAAGCAUUAUCACUAUUAUUAUAAGCUUUUAUUGCAUACACAACUAGUCACAAGAAUAUAAUGGAAAAGUGUAGUAAGUUGUUGGGCUAGGAGAAUAUUUUUGUACAACAAAAAUUUUACUAUAUAUAACUACCAAAAUAUCAAAUGAAAGCUACAUUUGAUAGAAACAUAAGCAAGCAUGUUUCUUUAAGUGGAAAAUGUAUCAUGAAUUUAGUUUAUUUUAAAUGAGUUUUUAUGAAGGCAUUAAUCAUCAAUAAGGAUGUGUUAUUGUAGCUCGUGGCUUUUCAUUUUGCCUUUUAUUUAAUGUGACUCAAAAGCUUUAUACCAUUGGCAAUAUAUGUUUUUCUUUCGAAUAUCCCAAAACCUUUAAUAUCAUUUUUCUUGCUCACAUUUCCAGCUAAGUUUAUUUCUAAAUGAAAUAAACGAAACGGGUAGCGCGCAUGCUACCUAUCUCUCUCAAAAAAAAAAAAAAAAAAAACUAUUUUGCCAACAAAAUCAUAUAAAAAUCCUCAUCUUGGGAGUUUAUCUGAUGUUUUGCGACAGAGUUUUAUAAUAACAAAACUAAUCUUAAUUGUUAAUACUAAUUUGCUUUUGAGUCUCCUUUUUCCUGAUCAAAAGCGAAAACUCCAAAUUAUUAGUAAGUAUUUAAUUUAUAGAAAGUAAACUCAUACUCAUUUUAUACUUUACCAUGACUUAUAUAUGCAAUAAAGUGCAUACAAGUAUGCAAUGCAGCAAUGAAAAGCAUGAGCUUUAAAUACAAUGCAUUAAAUUUAUCCACCUAGCUUGAUCUCAACACAAGUGGAUCGACACCGCGAAAGCCGUAAAACCUACAUUUCUAAAAGAGAUUUUGUGGUAAAAUUUUGCACCGUUACGGUACACGAUCAUUUAGCGAUAAUUUCGUAAAUAUGAUCCAACUCUAAGAGUUGAUAAUAACCUUAAUCCAAAAUUAGCAUCUAUUUCAUCCAAUUUUUACCUUUUCUUUUAGUUUAAGUUAUCUACCACAAGAGUCUUUGACAAUUAAAAAAGUCUGAAGCAUCUGCUGUAGAGAAAAAUGAAAGUGCAAUAUCGAGGCUCGAAAAGAAGAAGGGAGCGCCUUAAGAGAAACUUAUGGGAACAUUAUGUAUAAUGCUUCUCGUAGCAGCACUUCUGUAAAACGAAAUCAUAUCUACAGCACGACCAAACAGGCUCUUUAUUUUACUAAUCAGUACACAAGGACAUGGGCCGCAGUUGAAUGUGAUAAAUUAAUGGACUGGGCCAAAAUUAGCCCACUAUCAACUUAAAGUACAGCCCAGUUUACUGGGCCAAAAAUAAUUUUUGGCCCAACCCUUUUAAUUUUAGUUUCAAAUUUAAAAAUUAACCUCUCUUUUUUUUAUCAAACAUUGAAAAUAAAUAUUUCAUGGAGGUUAAGUCACGCCGCUGAUGUGUGGUGGACCACCAAAAUCACACGGACCAAAGCCAUGCGAAACACCGUGGCAACUCCACGUGCGGUGUACGGAUAUACUUAUUCCUACCUUGCCACGUGGGAUGAUCAUAUCCACUGGUUAUGUUUUGAUGGCAUUAAAUGCCGUUCAUAAAGAAAACGAAAAACCAAAAAAAGAAAAGUUUGGAAUUUUGGCAUAAUCCAAUCGUAAUUUUCAAUAAUAUUAUUAUAUAAAUUCAUAAGAACGGUACUUAGUACCACUUAAUUAAAGCAGUUAAUACGAUAUUAGCGUAUCAGCAAUUCAUAAAUACUCAAAAGUAAUACUUUAAAAAUUUUUUUAAUUAUCAUGAUCAUGAUGAACUAAGAGAGAUUAUUGUUGACAACAAAAGUACUUUGAUGCUCAAAGUUGGGUAUUAUAAACAGUACGCUAAAAUAUUUAGAGCUCAUUUGGUACUUGGUGCUAUAUAAUAUUAUUGGUCUAACAAAAAUUAAUUAGGACACAAAUAUAUAGAUAUAUAUGUCUCUCUAUGUUUUAAUAAAUUAAAAUAGAAUCUUUGUAUUGUAGGCAACAUGAUAUUUUUUACGAAAAUAAAUAAAAUAUUUUUAUAUUGCGUUAUUUCAUCAUAUGUAACACAUUUUCUACGACUACGAUACGGACCCAACGUGCACAAUACUAAUGGGACAUUAGAUAGGGAUCGUAUGGGCUUGAGCUCGCAUAAAUUGUACUAUUUGAUAAAGACAUGAUUCUAUAAUUUCACCUAAAAAAUCGAAUUUUUUCUCCAAAUAUAAAAAUUAUUAAACAAAUUUAAUAUAAAAUUUAUUCUGAAAAGAUAUUUUGAAUAGAAUAUAGCAUUUUUGCACCCAAGAGAACAAGACUAUUUAUACAGCACGGUUCAUUAAAUUAAAGGUAUAAUUAUCUAUAUACCCCUCGGACGUUUGAAAAUAUUCGAUUUAUCCUCUUUUUUUUUUCUUUCUAAAAUACCCCUCAUAUGUUCCACCGUUAUUACAAAAUACCCCCACAGUUAUCUCCUGUUAAGUUAACUUGAGUUAAACGUGAGUUAAACAUCUACCACAGUUACAAAAAAUUAAACUGCCAAUUUUGCCCUUAACUUAAGGGCAAAUAAGAAAUAUUGGUGACAGUAGAGAGGUAUAUUGAAAAAGACCAAAAGUCAAAAUAUUUUUUAUACCCCUAACUUUAAGGGCAAAUAAGAAAGCCAGUGAUGGUGGAAGGGUAUAUUUGAAAGGGCAAAAUAGUAAUUUUAUAGAGAUAACAUACUUAAUUAACAGAUUUUAACUCUAGAGGUAUAUUAAAAAUAGGUUGGAACGUAAAAAGGGUAUUUUCAAUAUUAGCCUUCUGAAAGGGGUAAAUCGAAAAGUCGGAAACUUUUCAGGAGUAUUUAAACAAUUGCCCCUAAAUUAAAGAUUUAUUAGUAUUGAAUAUUUGUCCCCAAAAAUGGGACAAUGAAAUUAACCACUACAUGCAUAAUUACUUAAAUAAAUAGUACACCAAAUAUACAUUUCUUUAACUUUAAUAUAUAUGCCACAUCAUAAUUGGGAACAUGCUUUGGUUAAGAUUUCUAGGGAUCCGAGAAAUAUAAUAUAUAUUUAUAUAUACAUACAUUUUAAAAAAAAUAAAAGUACAGUUAAAUAAUUUUCUAAAAUAAGAAAAAAACAAAAUUACAGGAAUAUUAGAUUUUGAGCAUCUAAAUUUUUGUUCUUAUUCGCGAAUAGAUCUCGUUUCCACGUGUCAAAUUUGUAAGGAAAUGUACCCCAAAAUACACAUGUUUGAGGAUCUUUUUUGUUUGGGACUCUAAAUUCCAAAAAAUUUAAUUAUUAUUGCUAAAUUAAAUUAAUAUAUAAUAACUACUAUGUAAGAAGUGAAUAUUACACAUACAUAUAUCUAAUCCUUUUAUGCUCAACUACUUUAAAAUAGCCAUAAAAAAAAAAUCAAAACCAUCUAAACUUUGAUGAUUCGACCGAGCAUUUUAUUAAUUAA